AAACCCCUUCUCAGCAGGAGCACGGUCCACCUUGCUACAGGAAGACAUUGGCAAAUGAAUUGUUGGGUUUAUAUGGAAAUUGGAGACCACCUUUGUCAAGAAUUUUGGCUGUGGAUAUAGCAGCAUUCUUGAUCACAGUGGAACUUCUGAGGCUGAAGAUGACUGUCCUGUGCACAGUAAACAGUCUCCCAAGCUGAAGAUCCAUCCUCUAGUGACAGGCUCUUCCUCAAGCAGCGCCCCGGGGACCCCAGGCAGGGGUCAGCAGCACCCCGUUGUGCUGCGCCCCGUGUAAACACCCGGGCUAAGAACCAGGUGACACCCUGAGCAGGAGCACAGCAGUGCCCAGCCCGGCACCAGCUGGCGGCGAUUCCUCCCGGCCUGUCCCCAGGCCUGGCCCCGCCCCCGUUCUCAGAAUUCUACGAAGAGCAGCUCCGGCCCCG
Molecule: long non-coding RNA, 440 nt
Organism: Mauremys reevesii (Reeves's turtle)
Lineage: Eukaryota; Metazoa; Chordata; Testudines; Geoemydidae
Exons: 3
Source: RefSeq, a predicted model, not a curated record